AACGAACGCUGGCGGCAUGCCUAACACAUGCAAGUCGAACGAAGCCUUCGGGCUUAGUGGCGCACGGGUGCGUAACGCGUGGGAAUCUGCCCUUGGGUUCGGAAUAACAGUUAGAAAUGACUGCUAAUACCGGAUGAUGUCUUCGGACCAAAGAUUUAUCGCCCAAGGAUGAGCCCGCGUAGGAUUAGGUAGUUGGUGGGGUAAUGGCCCACCAAGCCGACGAUCCUUAGCUGGUCUGAGAGGAUGAUCAGCCACACUGGGACUGAGACACGGCCCAGACUCCUACGGGAGGCAGCAGUGGGGAAUAUUGGACAAUGGGCGGAAGCCUGAUCCAGCCAUGCCGCGUGAGUGAUGAAGGCCUUAGGGUUGUAAAGCUCUUUUACCAGGGAUGAUAAUGACAGUACCUGGAGAAUAAGCUCCGGCUAACUCCGUGCCAGCCGCCGCCGCAG
This 449-nucleotide ribosomal RNA is filed under the name uncultured bacterium. RNAcentral's name for it is "partial 16S ribosomal RNA". It matches the Rfam family "Bacterial small subunit ribosomal RNA", at positions 29 to 523 of the family's 1533-position model. The record is from RNAcentral.